RNAcentral lists this small nuclear RNA (127 nucleotides) under Zalophus californianus (California sea lion). RNAcentral's name for it is "U4 spliceosomal RNA (ENSZCAG00015022103.1)". The stretch from base 1 to 63 matches the Rfam family "U4 spliceosomal RNA". The record is from RNAcentral. Lineage: Eukaryota; Metazoa; Chordata; Mammalia; Carnivora; Otariidae.
AGCUUUGCACAGUGGCAGUAUCGUAGCCAAUGAGGUUUAUCCGAGGUGCGAUUAUUGCUAAUGUGGCUAGUCCAAAUUGAGUUGUGCCAUAAGGAUCCACAACAGAUUUUGAGGACUUAGCACACAG